Paramacrobiotus metropolitanus is the source of this 404-nucleotide long non-coding RNA. RefSeq lists it as uncharacterized. Lineage: Eukaryota; Metazoa; Tardigrada; Eutardigrada; Parachela; Macrobiotidae. The record is from RefSeq and is a predicted model, not a curated record. The transcript is spliced from 3 exons.
CCAACGAUUUGCUCAUUCUGACGCUCAGUUUACGAAACUAGCAGCGCUGUUUGCCGGACGGAAUGUUCGUAAUACCGGAUUGAUGUCGCAAUCAAGGAAAUUUGUCCCCGAACGGUUUCGUCGUUCAAUUGAGAACGCUUGGAAAUGCUGCACCCUUUUAGCUGUGACAUCCCAGAAUAUCCAUGAACUAUUUGGAUUUGCUAAGCAACUUAUCGAGGAGCAUAAAGGAAGAUUUUCAUCCGAGAAUGUUAUCGACUAUAUUGACGCUUUUAUGAAGGAAGCUGAAGAGCAGCAGCGAAAAGGAACGGUUACCACAUUCACCGAUAAGCAACUCGUGACCUCAGUGCUUAAUCUUUUUGCCGCCGGAACCGAAAGCACUUCGAUGACGAUUGUCUGGGCCUUUC